UAGGGAAUCUUCCACAAUGGACGCAAGUCUGAUGGAGCAACGCCGCGUGAGUGAAGAAGGUUUUCGGACCGUAAAGCUCUGUUGUUGGUGAAGAAGGAUAGAGGUAGUAACUGGCCUUUAUUUGACGGUAAUCAACCAGAAAGUCACGGCUAACUACGUGCCAGCAGCCGCGGUAAUCGUAGGUGGCAAGCGUUGUCCGGAUUUAUUGGGCGUAAAGCGAGCGCAGGCGGAAGAAUAAGUCUGAUGUGAAAGCCCUCGGCUUAACC
This 266-nucleotide ribosomal RNA is filed under the name uncultured bacterium. Its description in RNAcentral is "partial 16S ribosomal RNA". It matches the Rfam family "Bacterial small subunit ribosomal RNA", at positions 355 to 614 of the family's 1533-position model. The record is from RNAcentral.